Molecule: ribosomal RNA, 296 nt
Filed under: uncultured bacterium
Lineage: Bacteria
Description: partial 16S ribosomal RNA
Rfam family: Bacterial small subunit ribosomal RNA
Source: RNAcentral
GACAAACGCUGGCGGCGUACUUAAGACAUGCAAGUCGAACGGGUGUCCUGCUUUCGGGUGGGAUGCUAGUGGCGGAUGGGUGAGUAACGCGUAGGAACCUGUCGUUAAGUGGGGGAUACCGCUGGGAAACCGGCGCUAAUACCGCAUGUGGUCGAGCGAUCGAAGAAAGCAGCAAUGCGCUUGAUGAGGGCCUGCGUCCGAUUAGCUAGUUGGUGGGUAAAGCCUACAAGGCGCGAUCGGUAGCUGGUCUGAGAGGAUGGUCAGCCACACUGGGACUGAGACACGGCCCAGACUCC